GAUGAACGCUGGCGGCGUGCCUAAUACAUGCAAGUCGAGCGAACAGACGAGGAGCUUGCUCCUCUGACGUUAGCGGCGGACGGGUGAGUAACACGUGGAUAACCUACCUAUAAGACUGGGAUAACUUCGGGAAACCGGAGCUAAUACCGGAUAAUAUAUUGAACCGCAUGGUUCAAUAGUGAAAGACGGUUUUGCUGUCACUUAUAGAUGGAUCCGCGCCGCAUUAGCUAGUUGGUAAGGUAACGGCUUACCAAGGCGACGAUGCGUAGCCGACCUGAGAGGGUGAUCGGCCACACGGGAACUGAGACACGGUCCAGACUCCUAAGGGAGGCAGCAGUAGGGAAUCUUCCGCAAUGGGCGAAAGCCUGACGGAGCAACGCCGCGUGAGUGAUGAAGGUCUUCGGAUCGUAAAACUCUGUUAUUAGGGAAGAACAAAUGUGGAAGUAACUAUGCACGUCUUGACGGUACCUAAUCAGAAAGCCACGGCUAACUACGUG
Molecule: ribosomal RNA, 497 nt
Filed under: uncultured bacterium
Lineage: Bacteria
Description: partial 16S ribosomal RNA
Rfam family: Bacterial small subunit ribosomal RNA
Source: RNAcentral